UUCAGUGUCCAGCCCUCUCUGUGAUCCUGGAUUGUGGAGAACAGGUUUCAUCCCCACGGCCUUCAGACUUUUAACUUUCAGCUGCUCCUUUUCUCCUCUCUCUCAGGGAACUAAAGGGAGGGAGAAGUAAGACGUCCCUAUCCACGGCAGCAGGGUUGGAAUGAGAUGAUCUCUACUGUCCUUUCCAAGCCAAACUCUUCUGUGAUUCCAUGAAUUCAUGAAUUGGCUUUGAACAGGGAGGUGCAGUUAUCCUUGCAGACUGAAACAGUCAGGUGAGGCACAGUGGGAGCCCAUGGAGGAAGGGAGAUGGGCUUGUGAUGCUGAUCACUCUCCCUUCUAUUUCUAUUAAAAGCCCUUUCCCCCGAUCUUUUAGGCUGGGGAUGGUACCUGGGCUUUGGUCACUGUUCCCAUUCAGUCUUUUUGAAUUAGAAGUCCUUCAGAAGCAGACAUUCUUUCUUCUCUACCCGUGGAUAUCUUUUCCAAAAGGACAGAGUGUCUCCUGGAUGAUGACAGGAAUAUGAACAGGAGCUUGUGGUCGAAACAGAGGCUCCAAGGCUGUCUAGGUCCAUUUGGGUUUCACCUCUGUGGCUGGAUUCUUGGAUAUCUCACGGGGAGUGAUUCAUGCCUGGGCCUUUCUUUGUGGCAGAGCGAGUCACCUAUUUUCGCACGGCUUGUGGGCGCUCCGUGUCAGCGAGGCUCCAGCUCCUCUGCCAGGGCUGGGGGAGACUGGCCAGAGGCUUCAAAGUUUCUCAGGACUGGGAAUGGUGCAUUUUAAGACUCCCUUUUGUGUGAAAUCAAGCUAAAAACCACGAGACCACGCAGUUCCCUCUUUAUCUUCAGUGGCUCCAAGGGUCACAUUUCCCAUCUGCUCCUCCACAGACUCACGUUUUCCUUCUCGCUUUGCACGGGAGCUGGCUCUCAGUAUCCUGUUGUGGAAGCUGGGAUUCUGGUGGGAUUGUCCCUCCCAGGGUGCAUCAGCUCUGACCAGACCAGGUGGGAUAAGAUCCAGAGCAGCUGGUGUGGGUUUUUUACCACCCUCACCAUCACACUUCAUGUGGACCAGCACAUUUUCCACCAGGAGCUUAUUACUACUCCCGUGUCCCAAAAACGUGCCUGGAUACAUUUUCACCUGGAGGGCUCAGGAAAGGGGAGCAAGUCACCAGCUAAGCUGCCAAGAUGUCCAU
RNAcentral lists this long non-coding RNA (1184 nucleotides) under Parus major (Great Tit). Its description in RNAcentral is "lncRNA (ENSPMJG00000006524.1)". The record is from RNAcentral. Lineage: Eukaryota; Metazoa; Chordata; Aves; Passeriformes; Paridae.